GAUGAACGCUGGCGGCGUGCCUAACACAUGCAAGUCGAGCGAUUCUCUUCGGAGAAGAGCGGCGGACGGGUGAGUAACGCGUGGGUAACCCGCCCUGUACACACGGAUAACAUACCGAAAGGUAUGCUAAUACGCGAUACUAUACUUUUAUCGCAGUGUAGAAUUAUCAAAGCUUUUGCGGUACAGGAUGGACCCGCGGCUGAUUAGCUAGUUGGUAAGGUAACGGCUUACCAAGGCGACGAUCAGUCGCCGACCUGAGAGGGUGAUCGGCCACAUUGGAACUGAGACACGGUCCAAACUCCUACGGGAGGCAGCAGUGGGGAAUAUUGCACAAUGGGCGAAAGCCUGAGGCAGCAACGCCGCGUGAGCGAUGAAGGCCUUCGGGUCGUAAAGCUCUGUCCUCAAGGAAGAUAAUGACGGUACUUGAGGAGGAAGCCCCGGCUAACUACGUGCCAGCCGCCGCAGUAA
Molecule: ribosomal RNA, 468 nt
Filed under: uncultured bacterium
Lineage: Bacteria
Description: partial 16S ribosomal RNA
Rfam family: Bacterial small subunit ribosomal RNA
Source: RNAcentral